AUUUAGCAAGUAUGCCCGCGUUAGGGAUUGAAGCGGAAAGCCCACAGGGACGCAGGAGCGAGGACUUGCAGCAAAAAGCCCGACCCGAU
This 89-nucleotide small RNA is filed under the name Mariniflexile fucanivorans. RNAcentral describes it as "Flavo-1 RNA". Lineage: Bacteria; Pseudomonadati; Bacteroidota; Flavobacteriia; Flavobacteriales; Flavobacteriaceae. The record is from RNAcentral.